AAAUUCCUCAAACCACAUGGUACACUGUACUUUAUGUGGCUUUGGACAUGGGGGUUUUAUUUUUUGCAGGCCUUUCUUUUGAGGUGUGCUCCCCUGAAAUGCAUUAGUGGUAUCUGGAGCAGAGGAGACUACUAGGUGUGAUAAAUUAUCUAUGCCUUUUGGUAUGCUGCAUGAAACAGAUUGGACUGCUUCUUGAACACACAUUUAUUUUGACCA
Molecule: unclassified non-coding RNA, 216 nt
Filed under: uncultured Inocybe
Lineage: Eukaryota; Fungi; Basidiomycota; Agaricomycetes; Agaricales; Cortinariaceae
Description: sequence contains ITS2
Source: RNAcentral